CAGUAGCCGCGGUAAUACGUAGGUGGCAAGCGUUGUCCGGAAUUAUUGGGCGUAAAGCGCACGUAGGCGGUUUAUCAAGUCAGAGGUGAAAGCCCGGGGCUCAACCCCGGAACUGCCUUUGAAACUAGUAGACCUGAAUCUUGGAGAGGUCAGUGGAAUUCCGAGUGUAGAGGUGAAAUUCGUAGAUAUUCGGAAGAACACCAGUGGCGAAGGCGACUGACUGGACAAGUAUUGACGCUGAGGUGCGAAAGCGUGGUGAGCAAACAGGAUUAGAUACCCCAGUAGUCCCUGUCUCUUAUAU
This 301-nucleotide ribosomal RNA is filed under the name uncultured bacterium. RNAcentral describes it as "partial 16S ribosomal RNA". It matches the Rfam family "Bacterial small subunit ribosomal RNA", at positions 509 to 809 of the family's 1533-position model. The record is from RNAcentral.